CCUCUCGUCGGGUUUCGGCUCGGUGGGGGAUAAAGGUCGGCGCGCUCCGUUUGGUGACUCUGGAUAACUCACUGGUCGAUCGCACGGGCUUCCACGCCCGGCGACGGUCCCCCGAGGUCCGCCCUAUCAACUGUC
Molecule: ribosomal RNA, 135 nt
Filed under: Mastigopsis hjorti (lampeyed whiplash squid)
Lineage: Eukaryota; Metazoa; Mollusca; Cephalopoda; Oegopsida; Mastigoteuthidae
Description: partial small subunit ribosomal RNA
Source: RNAcentral